UUCAACAACCCCUUUGUUUCUUUUAACCUCAUUUGUUGACUUAUUUUUCCUUUUAAUGAAAAUAAAACAAAGGAAACACAACAAGAACAAUAAUAAUAACCCACCAACACUUGCUGCUACAACAAUGAUGAUCAGUUUGGUUUUUUUGUUUGAUUUCCGGUUUAAGCUUGGUAAAGCCGGUUCAGUACCGGUUCCCGGACAUGGCUUUUUAACUUGCUCACCACAAAGGGCGGCGUUACCUAAAAAAGACGACGUAUUGAACCGAACUAAAGAUGGGGUUACUGGUAUUUGACCAUAAAGCUGAUUAUUUGACACAUUGAAGAACCUUAAACUUGUUUGGUUCAAUGGUGGAAUCGAUCCUUUCAACUCAUUGUUUUGUAAAUAAAGAGUAUAUAGUCUCUUGAGUUUCAAUAAAGAAAAUGGGAUUUCACCAUUGAUUUGAUUUCCAGACAAGACAAUGAUUUUCAACCGAUGUAAACCCGACAAUGAUAAAGGGAACUCACCAUUGAACUUGUUGUUGUCUAAGUAGAGGAUUUUGAGGUUGACUAAACCUGAAAGGUUAGGUAUUUGACCUGAAAUGGAAUUACCUUUGAAACUCAAUACUCUAAGUUGAUCUAAAAGGUUUAAGCUUGUACCAUUUAAUGAACCAGUUAAGUUCAACCGCUCUAAUACAAGCUUUGUUAUUCUUCCAUCUUUGCAUUCUUUGACACCUUGCCAUGAACAAAGAUUGGUGCUGCUUUGCCAUUGUAAUGAAUUGAAAGGAUCAAUGGUUGAUUUUAAAGCUAAAAGUGCUUCUGCAUCACCUGAUUUAACAAUAGGAACAAGAGAAAGGACAUAGAAGAUGAUGAAGAUGAAGGUUAAAAGAAGAUAGUACCUUGAAGAAAUAAGUUGUUCCAUUUUUUUGAAGCUUUAAAAAGGGAAGAAGAAGAAGAAGAAAGAAAGAAAGAAAUGGGGUUUCUUCAAAUCAACAUCUUUAUGCAAAAAGGAUCAAAAACCCAAUUUUUUUUAACUAAACCUUGAGAUCUGUCAUUGGUCUUACAUGCAUAAGAAACUGUAGAAAAAUAUUGGGUCAUUUUUGACUGAAACUAAGAGACAACAAAGGGGAAAAAAGGUUUUUUAUAUACUUAUAUACAAUGAAAUGAAAGCUUAAACCGGGGGUGGGGGAGCUAUUAGCAUUAAUAGGGUUUCUAAAAUACCACACUAAAAUGCUGAAGAAUCAUUUUUUUUUUUUUUUGGUUUCUCGAACUUGUUAAUCUUGAAAACACUCACGGACAAGGCAGCGUAGUGUUCACGUGAGUUUAUCACAGAACUUGCAGAGAAAAUAAUGAUAAUAAUAAUAGUAUUAACUUUUUUUUACUAUGAUUUUUUUCUAUAUAGCAACUAAAAAAAUAUUAAAUUAAACUAUUUAUACACACUAAGACCAACUUUCUUUUUAAAAGCUUAUUCUUGGGCUUCUCAAAUGUGGUUUAUGACAUAUACAUACAUACAUACAGUGAUAUGCAAAUCACUGAAUGGUGUAAACAGCAAAGACCCAGAACUUAAAAAGCUUAUAGAAAUUCAACCCAAUGCUAGAAAUCAUUCAAACAGUACAAAAUUGGCAAAUCAAUAGGCAAACAAAAGGGCUUUCAAGACAAAAAAAAAAAGUACUACAGCUCAAGUGGUUCUAUGGUGAAUUAGAUCUACUCGUAUUGAAUGUAGUAAUAAUAAUUCAAAGAGAGAUAGGAGAGAGACCGUGUUUAUGAACCAGUGUUUCAGGAGAUAGGUGAAGGGAUUGAAGGCAUAGCAAAGCAAUAUUUUUUUUUCUGGUUUUGGUUUGGAGAGUUUAAGGGUUGGGUUAUUUAAGUAGCUUAUAAUUCAAUUUAAGCCAGUUCAGUUAAAAUGUUGUUAUUUGAUGAUAUAUGUUUUAUUUUAAUUUAAUUGGAACGUAUAAAAAUUUGUAUAUUUCUGGUUUUAGUCCAUUUACUAUACAAAAUUUUGUGAUUCUAUCUCUAUAUUUGGUAAGUUCAAACUGGUAAUAAUGUAUAUAAGCUAUUUCCCUUAAAGUUAUGGAUAUGCAUAAUUCAAUUAAAAUCAAAUUAGUUAGAUUAAUUAGUCUAUCAUUAAAAUUAAUUCGAUCAAAGAUAAAUUAAAUAUUUUAUAAAAAUUAGAUUAUUGAUUAAUUUAAUUUAAAAUAAUUAAAUUAUCAAGAUUAAUAAUAAAUAUUUUAUACUAUAUAAAUGCCCAAUAGAUUGGAACUAUUAAUAGGCUGUGGUACAAAGAAAAAGUUAAAUAGAAUUAAAAUAUAACAAAAAUAAUGACUUAAAAAUGAAAAAUAAAAAUAAAAACCCAACUCCCCUGUGUUUGUCAGUGUUUUUUUUUUUCCUUUCACGCUGCUGAAGUGAACUGGUCCUCCCUUCUUCAGUAGCUUUUUUUUUACCUUAUUUUUCUCUUUUUCAUUUCAAGUUAACCGCAUCAUUUAAUCUUAACAGAUCUUCGAAGCAAAAAAGAAAAAAAAAUAUUUUUCGAAACCCCGUCGAAUUAACUAAAAUUAUUUCAGUUUAGUUAUUUUUGUUAAAAAAUUAUUAACAAUUAAUUAAAUUAACGAUACUACCGAAUCGAUCACUCAAGCAGAGGGAUCAAAACAUUAUCGACCAAUAUUUUAAAAUUUAAAAAAUAAAUUAUAUCAAAUUAAAGUAAAAAAAUUAAAUUAUAAAUUUUAAGAUAAUAGAGGGGCUAAAAACAGAAUUAAUCCAUCAAUACUCCGGACACUGGUCUGACCUGAAACGUGUAAUAAAUAAUAAAUGGAAGACACGUGGCGAAAAGCGUGCUUCAAAAGUAGUCGAAUUCACGUUAAGAGGAGAGAUCGAUGUUUGGUCUGGGCUAGCUGUCACGUUGGCUUCAAGUCAAGAUUGGGUAGAAGUGUAAUUACACAUUUUAUUUUAUUAUUUUUAAUUCACAGUUCGGAGGAUGGUCGUUUUAGGACAAUCCCGACUACCUUGCCGGAAAUCUAGGUGCAGACCAGACUUCAUCAUUGACUCAAACGCAAAUUUUGGUUGAUUUUGUCAACUUUUAAUUUUAUUUAUAUAUUAUUAGGUUGAUUUGCCGCAGUAAUUAAGGCUAAUUAAAAAUUUAUGAGAUCACUAAAAUUAAAGACAAAGCUAUAGGAUAUGUUACCGUGUAACCCAGUCGAACUUGGAUAGUGACAAUUCAAGUUUAACUUCAACUUAAAAUUGGUUACCCGUUAACCAAUUUUCAUACGAGCUCAUUCAUAAUUAAUAAAAUUUUAAUUUUAUACUUAAAAAGCUUAACUAAACUCAUAGACCAUUUGAAUCGAUGCUCAAAAUUGAUCCGACUCGAACUCGACAAUAAUUACCAAAUCAAAUUCGAUUUUAAAAAAAAAAUCGAACUCGAAUAAUAAUUUACAAACAUUGAUGCGUUUGUUUACAUCCCUAAAAACCACUCUUACCACUUUCGGUAGUCCACCUCCAUGGUGAAAAACACACACUUCAUCCCAAAUGAAAGCGACUAAAUGCAAGAAAGAGUUGGGUGAAGAGAUCCCAACACCCAAUACAAUAACCCACAAUAGUAUUCCCAUGAACCAUAUUAAACCUAGCUCCCCCGGUGGGCAAAGAUUUCUAAAUCCAGCCCCAUCUGAAUUUAAAUUAUAAAAAACAUAUGAAAAUAAAUUAAUAAUUUUAACAUAUAUUUUAAAUUUCAAUCGUAAAAUACAUAAAUAUUAAUAUAAUUAUAUUUUUAUUAAUUUAUUAUUUUUAAAAUAAUAAAAUGAAUUCUCUAUGGUCAAGCCCCUAACCUAACACUUCUAAACCAAAUCAAAUUAAAAAUAAAUCAAUUUAUUAAUCUGAAAACCGAAAAAUCCGCUUAGAUUGGGGUAAAACUAUAAUGAAUUUUGCAAUACAGUUGAAUUUAUCAAUAUAAUCCAAUAUCUUUAUUAUACUAAUCUAAAAUAUUAUCUAUGUUCUAGAUCUAGAAAAUGAAAUGGUUUGAUGGUUAAAAUAUUGUUAAAAUAUAAAUAGGCAAUUACACCUUAACUGAAGCCCUCCGUAUAUGUGUAUGUAUAAGGCUUGGCUAAGACUUAGAAUGGUAGGUUUUUGUUCUAUCAACAAGUCAACCUUCAGGCUUCUAUAUAUUGCUGUUCAAAGUAUAUUUAAUAACCCCUUCCAUCUCUCAACUCAACUCAACUCUAUAUAUUGACUCAGCAAUUACACCUUAACUGAAGCCCUCCCCAUAUGUGUAUAUAUAAGGCUUGGCUAAGACUUAGAAUGGUAGGUUUUUGUUCUAUCAACAAGUCAACCUUCAGGCUUCUAUAUAUUGUUGUUCAAAGUAUAUUUAAUAACCCCUUCCAUCUCUCCACUCAACUCAACUCUAUAUUUUGACUCAGCAAUAUCAAGCAUCAAAGCACAUCAACUCUAUAAAUCAAGCAUGUGCAAUCAAGUCCGGUAUGUCUCAUAGUUCUAUAUGUUUUAGGUUCAUCCAUGUAUUCAGCAAGAUCUUUACAUACAUACAUAUUUACAUGCAUACAUACAUAAAUUACAUAUAUAUUAGUACAUGCAGGAUGUUGCAAAAUGGUAUCGAUUUCUCAUCAGAACCUACAAACUUCCUUUAGACAGAUUAAAAGUUUGUAGAAUUCAUGUACCUAUUUUGCUUCGUCUGCUCUCUUUGCAGGGUACAGAAGGCAUGUCUUAGCAUCGAUUCUUGCAGUUUUUUCUUCCUUGUGUGUCACUGUUGACCUGCAUAGAUCAGUGUAUCGGAUGAUACUGAGUAAUACCUCGUCUUGGUGGCAACUUCCGUAAAAUGAAAAGGACCAAAAUUGAAGGUAAUAUCUCCACCAACUGCCCAAUAAAAGAAAACAAAACGAAAAGAGAAAGUUUCUGAGGAUAGUUGAACGCCAUCUUUGUAAUCAACAUCAAGAAACAACAUUAAAAUACUUACAUAUAUAUAUAUAUCAUCAAUUUCAGUAAUUCCUCUCCAUUUUGGUAGCAAAAUAGAAAAAAAAGUUCAGUCAGUUUUCUUUCAAUUUCCCCUAUUUUAGAGAGCUACAUAUAUAUAUAUACUUGUUCAACAGAGAAACCUAGAAGUUAGCCUCUAGCCUUUUAUAUAAACAUAAGCAGUUAAAAGAAAGAGAAAAGAAUUAGCAAGACAUGAAGAAAAUAUUAUUAACUGUACUCUCAGGUAAAAUUAUUAUCCCUAAAGUUCGAGAACUAGUUUACAAAUAAUGAUAAUAAAGUCGCAACUCACAACUGCAUCUAAAAAUUUCUUCCACAUAACAAUCUGAUGGCAAAGUCUUAUAAAUUGCUUACGAAAUUUAUUGAAAUAUGCAUUAAAUUUAGCAGCAAAAUAAACAAGGAAACAAGGAAGUGGCAAUCUUCUCAGUUUUCCUAUGGCAAUGAAAAGGGUUAAGCAACCUCCACACUGAAUUUCAAUAUGAUUGUUUCAAUCAUGAGAAACUUAGAAACAUGAAGAAAUAUUUAUUAAACAUACCAGGUAAUAUAUGAAGUUUAGAACUGGAUGGUUCAGAACAUUAAGAUCAGCAGCUUUAUCAAAUGCAUCAAAGCACAUCUAAAACAAAAAUUAACAAUGGAGCUCAAAUUAGCAAACGCUUUGGACAAACAUCAUCAUAGAUGAGCAAAGUCCAAGAUAUGAAAUUCAGUAAGAUGCAUACUACUUUAUCACCAUUGAAUAGAUCAACAAUUUAAACCAACUAGCAGCUAAGGUUCAACUAAAAUGCUUUCAUUUUGAAACAGAAGUGCUAUAACAUUAUGGGAAAAUAUCUGGUACACUGCAAGUGGAGUUUUUAGAAUCCACAAGCAGAGUUAGAGGGCUGACAAGUAUCAUACAGAGGUAUAGUAAAAUAUUAAAAAAAAAACACGUGGAAAUUUUUUAGGGUUGCUUAUGCAAUAAAAACAAAUACACUGCCAGUGUACCAAAUACUAACCCUAACAAUAUACAUACCUAAAAGUUUCACAAAAGCCUAACAAAACGUGUAGUAUUGUCAAUUUGAGAUUUGUAGUGUUAGUAAAGCCAGAAAGGAGAUUAAUAAUCUACCAUAAUGCAUCUGACUAGGAAACAUGAGGAGCAUAUGACAGUCACAUAACCAACCUGCCAAAUAAAAAAAGAAAUAACAAUAAAAAAUUGUAAAUAGAAGGUCAAAUUGUUGUACUUAAAAACCACAUCUACUUCCAAAGUAAAUAUGUACUUCUUGCAGCUUAUUUUGUCGCCCUUUGGACUCUACAGGGAAUCGCUGCAACAUUAAGAAAAGCCUGCAAGGAUUGAACUUAUUACAUAUACAUAUACAUAUACAUAUACAUAUACAUAUACAUAUACAUAUACAUAUACAUAUACAUAGAGAGAGAGAGAGAGAGAAUUUCAAGGUAUAUAUAUAGUAUGGUUACAAUGUUCACUUACAAAUGAAUGGGAGAAACUGUAAUUACGGCAUAAAUGAAAUGAAUAGAACAAAAAGGGUCAGCCAUAAUUUUCUCUGGGAAGUACCAAAUAAACAUGAACUAAUUUAUCAGCAAAAAAUAAUAACUGUUCCAUAACACUGUUGCCAACUGAAUUAUCAAUGAUGAGCAUAGAUGUUAGAAUAUAGGUGGUUGAGGAUGUGUGGACACGUGAUGUGAGAGGGACAUUAUCACACCUAGAUAGCUCUCAUGCAUUUAAAACACUUAGCAACAGUACAAUAUAUGGCAAUAUUACC
Molecule: long non-coding RNA, 6694 nt
Filed under: Gossypium barbadense (sea-island cotton)
Lineage: Eukaryota; Viridiplantae; Streptophyta; Magnoliopsida; Malvales; Malvaceae
Description: long non-coding RNA (GBAR_LNC003539)
Source: RNAcentral